GCAAGUCGAACGAAGAAACCUCUUCGGAGGUGGAAGAGUGGCGAACGGGUGAGUAACACGUGGGCAAUCUGCCCCUCACACCGGGAUAACCCUUGGAAACGAGGCUAAUACCGGAUACUCACAUUCACAGGCAUCUGUGAGUGUGGAAAGGAUUCUGGUGAGGGAUGAGCCCGCGGCCUAUCAGCUAGUUGGUGGGGUAAUGGCCUACCAAGGCGACGACGGGUAACCGGCCUGAGAGGGCGACC
RNAcentral lists this ribosomal RNA (245 nucleotides) under uncultured bacterium. RNAcentral describes it as "partial 16S ribosomal RNA". It matches the Rfam family "Bacterial small subunit ribosomal RNA", at positions 57 to 305 of the family's 1533-position model. The record is from RNAcentral.